Molecule: ribosomal RNA, 468 nt
Filed under: uncultured bacterium
Lineage: Bacteria
Description: partial 16S ribosomal RNA
Rfam family: Bacterial small subunit ribosomal RNA
Source: RNAcentral
GACGAACGCUGGCGGCGUGCUUAACACAUGCAAGUCGAACGGAAAGACCCUGCUUUUGUGGGGUGCUCGAUUGGCGAACGGGUGAGUAACACGUGAGUAACCUGCCCUUGACUUUGGGAUAACUUCAGGAAACUGGGGCUCAUACCGGAUAUGAGCUCCUGCUGCAUGGUGGGGGUUGGAAAAUUUCGGCGGUUGUGGAUGGACUCGCGGCUUAUCAGCUUGUUGGUGGGGUAGUGGCUUACCAAGGCUUUGACGGGUAGCCGGCCUGAGAGGGUGACCGGCCUCAUGGGGCCUGAGAGACGGCCCAGACGCCUACGGGAGGCAGCAGGGGGGAAUAUGGCAGAAUGGGCGGAAGCCUGAGGCAGAAACGCCGCGUGCGGGAUGACGGCCUUCGGGUUGUAAACCGCUUUCGCCGGUGACGAAGCGUGAGUGACGGUAAUGGGUAAAGAAGCAACGGCUAACUACGUG